Molecule: ribosomal RNA, 214 nt
Filed under: uncultured Staphylococcus sp.
Lineage: Bacteria; Bacillati; Bacillota; Bacilli; Caryophanales; Staphylococcaceae
Description: partial 16S ribosomal RNA
Rfam family: Bacterial small subunit ribosomal RNA
Source: RNAcentral
UACACUAUAAGACUGGGAUAACUUCGGGAAACCGGAGCUAAUACCGGAUAAUAUAUUGAACCGCAUGGUUCAAAAGUGAAAGACGGUCUUGCUGUCGCUUAUAGAUGGAUCCGCGCUGCAUUAGCUAGUUGGUAAGGUAACGGCUUACCAAGGCAACGAUGCAUAGCCGACCUGAGAGGGUGAUCGGCCACACUGGAACUGAGACACGGUCCAG